Molecule: long non-coding RNA, 1482 nt
Filed under: Strigops habroptila (Kakapo)
Lineage: Eukaryota; Metazoa; Chordata; Aves; Psittaciformes; Psittacidae
Description: lncRNA (ENSSHBG00005012132.1)
Source: RNAcentral
UUUUCUUUUCCCUAAAGCAUGCAUGUUCCCUCCCUAUGAGAAUAUCCUCUGUGUAUCCCAGCUUCCAGCUGCAGAAGCUAUAUUUACCUUCCACAAACCAAGGUUUGUUAUCAAGCUUAAAACAAGCCAUAUGCUCCAGACAGUUCCGAGCCACCUGGCACAUUCGUUGACCUAUUACUUCUCAGUAAAUUCCAACUGACCUUGCACUGAACUGGAAUUUCAACUCAGUUGUCCCUCUGAUGCUCACAAGUUAAGCAGGCUUUUGCUGAGCACUUACAGACACUCCCAGGCCCCUGCCCAGCAUCAUGGGUGUGGCACUGCUGGAGUCCUUAGCAACACUCUCCAGGCAGGAUUAGAUAAGAACAAAGAUUUUGCCCAUUGGUCAACCACCUCGCCCUGUUCCUUUGUUAGUGACUUUAAGACCUUGUCUCUACUUGAAAGAUAUGCUUAUAAAACAAUGCUGUACAUGAGAUGGAGCUUAGGGCAGUGCCCAAAAUAAAGUUAUAACAGGAAAAACCUUUUUUUUUUUACCCAUGUAACCAUGUUUGCAAGCAUGGUUAAAACAUCCUAAGAAUUGUACCCCUGGACCAGCAUAAUUCAACUAAUGUUUCAGAGUUGAUCACAGUUGUGAGUCCAAGCUAUGAAACCCAGAGAAAAAUCUACAUAAUCACUUGUCUCACUUGCAUUAACAAAGGCUUGCAUCCUGUAAGAGAGUUUCUUACAGAGCUUGCAAGGUCACUACUGAGUUGACUGAUGAGUUAUGAUCCAGUUGAAAAACUUAUGUCUCUAUGUCCUUCCCACUUAUGUCUAUGUCCUUCCCACUCAUGUCUAUGUCCUUCCCACUCUACCCAAGCUUUAUACAAUUAGGAUUGAACAUUUUCCAAGUCACACUUCCAAAUUACAGUUACCAGCCAAUUCUGACUUCUUGGAGACACAUAAAAGUUUAAGAAGAUCAAAACAGUGUGUGUGGGGGUGUAUUUUUUAGAACAUUUUUCAGUAGAAGUGUCAGCAGGGGGAGUUUCAAAAGCCCAGCUCUACCGUGAUUGCAGUGUCUGAAAAAAAUCAAGUCACAUACUUCAUUUUGAGCUGAUUGAUUACUUCAAAAUCAGAGAAGUCCUUUCGUGUUAGUAUUCAAGCCACCCACAGCGAGAGGAAUAUGACUACACAUUCCGAUGAGUCCCUAGAGUUAUUCAUGCUCCAGGGGUACCUAUUACCUUUUUUUGAUUCUUCAUACAAUGGCAUCUUGCAGCUUCAAAAAGGGCCUGGUAAAACUGCGUCACAGAAGCCAGAGAUAAAUGGGAAGCCUGCAGCUAAUAGUGAGCUAAACAUCAUCCAUGGAAUUUGGAUGUCAAGUCUGCUGGGCCAUAUUAUUUUCUAAUGUAACCAGUAUUUUCCUGCUGUCAUCUGUUUCAUAGAAUGGUUUGGGUUGGAAGGGAACUUAAAGCUCAUCCAGUUCCACACCCUGCCACAGGCAGGGACCCC